UCAGGAUGAACGCUGGCGGCGCGCCUAACACAUGCAAGUCGAACGGCACCCAUCUUCGGAUGGAAGCGAGUGGCGAACGGCUGAGUAACACGUGGAGAACCUGCCCCCUCCCCCGGGAUAGCCGUCCGAAAGGACGGGUAAUACCGGAUACCCCGGGGUGCCGCAUGGCACCCCGGCUAAAGCCCCGACGGGAGGGGAUGGCUCCGCGGCCCAUCAGGUAGACGGCGGGGUGACGGCCCACCGUGCCGAAAACGGGUAGCCGGGUUGAGAGACCGACCGGCCAGAUUGGGACUGAGACACGGCCCAGACUCCUACGGGAGGCAGCAGUGGGGAAUCUUGCGCAAUGGGGGGAACCCUGACGCAGCGACGCCGCGUGCGGGACGGAGGCCUUCGGGUCGUAAACCGCUUUCAGCAGGGAAGAGUCAAGACUGUACCUGCAGAAGAAGCCCCGGCUAACUACGUGCCAGCAGCCGCGGUAAUACGUAGGGGGCGAGCGUUAUCCGGAUUCAUUGGGCGUAAAGCGCGCGUAGGCGGCCCGGCAGGCCGGGGGUCGAAGCGGGGGGCUCAACCCCCCGAAGCCCCCGGAACCUCCGCGGCUUGGGUCCGGUAGGGGAGGGUGGAACACCCGGUGUAGCGGUGGAAUGCGCAGAUAUCGGGUGGAACACCGGUGGCGAAGGCGGCCCUCUGGGCCGAGACCGACGCUGAGGCGCGAAAGCUGGGGGAGCGAACAGGAUUAGAUACCCUGGUAGUCCCAGCCGUAAACGAUGGACGCUAGGUGUGGGGGGACGAUCCCCCCGUGCCGCAGCCAACGCAUUAAGCGUCCCGCCUGGGGAGUACGGCCGCAAGGCUAAAACUCAAAUGAAUUGACGGAAGGGCGAA
Molecule: ribosomal RNA, 879 nt
Filed under: uncultured bacterium
Lineage: Bacteria
Description: bacterial SSU rRNA
Rfam family: Bacterial small subunit ribosomal RNA
Source: RNAcentral